RNAcentral lists this ribosomal RNA (2213 nucleotides) under Williopsis vartiovaarae. Its description in RNAcentral is "eukaryotic LSU rRNA". It matches the Rfam family "Eukaryotic large subunit ribosomal RNA", at positions 62 to 2358 of the family's 3401-position model. Lineage: Eukaryota; Fungi; Ascomycota; Saccharomycetes; Phaffomycetales; Wickerhamomycetaceae. The record is from RNAcentral.
AAACCAACAGGGAUUGCCUCAGUGACAGGCGGUGAAGCGGCAAAAGCUCGAAUUUGAAAUCUGGUACCUUCGGUGCCCGAGUUGUAAUUUGAAGAUAGUUUCUGGUGCUCUUUACUUGUCAUGUUCCUUGGAACAGGACUUCACAGAGGGUGAGAAUCCCGUCCUGGCGAUGCAGUGCUAUGUAGAUUUCUAUCGACGAGUCCCGAGUUGUUUGGGAAUGCAGCUGGCAUCCAUCCAAUUCCAUCUAAAGCUAAAUAUUGGCGAGAGACCGAUAGCGAACACAUACAGUGAUGGAAAGAUGAAAGAACUUUGAAAACAGAGUGAAGACAGUACGUGAAAUUGUUGAAAGGGAAGCGUACCCUAAUCAACUUGGUGUUUUGUGAUUAUUUCCCUUCUUAAUUGUGCACUCGCAUUUCACUGGGCCAGCAUCGGUUCCUAUGGCAAGAUAAUGACAUUGGAACGUGGCACCUUCUUCGGUUGGUGUGUUAGCCUUUGUUGAUGUUGCCUGUCUGGACCGAGGACUGCGGCUUUUGCCUAGGAUGCUCUCCGGUAAUGAUCCAAUACCGCCCGUUGAAACACGGACCAAGGAGUCUAACGUCUAUGCGAGUGUUUGGGUGUAAAACCCGUACGCGUAAUGAAAGGUGAACGUAGGUGAGCCCGUUAAAAAGGUGCAUCAUCGACCGAUCCUGAUGUCUUCGGAUGGAUUUGUGGGUAAGAGCAGCUAGUCAAGCGGAAAGAUAGUGAACUAUGCCUGAAUAGGGGGCAGCCAGAGGAAACUGGAGGCUCGUAGCGGUUCUGACGUGCAAAUCGAUCGUCGAAUUUGGGUAUAGGGGCGAACGGAUCGAACCAUCUAGUAGCUGGUUCCUGCCGAAGUUUCCCUCAGGAUAGCAGAAGCUCGUAUCAGUUUUAUGAGGUAAAGCGAAUGAUUAGAGGUAUUGGGGUUGAAAUGACCUUAACCUAUUCUCAAACUUUAAAUAUGUAAGAAUCAGUCCUUGUUACUUAAUUGAACGUGGACAUUUUGAAUGAAUUUUAUGGUGGGCCAUUUUGUAAGCAGAACUGGCGAUGCGGAUGAACCGAACGUAAAGUUAAGCUCCGAAUACACGCUCAUCAGACACCAAAAUGUCAUUCACUUAGACAGGCCGGACGGGCCGGAAGUUGGAAUCCGCUAAGGAGUGUGUAGACUCACGGCCGAAUGAACUAGCCCUGAAAAUGGAAAUGCUUAUGCCUGCUAAAAUACCUACUUUACCGUCAGGCGCCCUGACGAGAGUAGGCAGGCGGAGGGUCAGUGAUGAAGCCUUUGCAGCGAUGCUGGGUAGAACGGGCCUCUAGUGCAGAUCUUGGUGGUAGCAGCAACAUUCAAAUGAGAUCUUGAAGACCGAAGUGGGGAGGUUCCACGUCAACAGCAGUUGGACGGGGUUAGUCGAUCCCAAGAGAUGGGGAAGCCCUGUUUCAAAGUGUCUGAUUUGUACAAUUAUCGAAAGCGAACUAAAAUCGAACCUGAUAUGGAUUCUUCACGGUAACGUAAACUGAACGUGAGACGUCGGCGUGAGCCCCUGGGGAGGAGCUAUUAUCUUUCUUCAACAACUUUAUCACCCUGGAAUUGGUUUAUCCGGAGAUGGGGUCUUAUGGCUGGAAGAGCGCAACACCUCUGGUGUCCGGUGCGCUUACGACGGCCCUUGAAAAAUCCACAGAAGCGAAAUAGUUUUCAUGCCAGGUCGUACUCAUAACCGGCAGCAGGUCUCCACAGCCUAGUUGAUAGAAUAAUGUGAUAAGGGAAGUCGGCGAUCCGUGGGUCUUCGGGACAAGCGAUUGCCCCUAUGGAUCGGGUGUCUUGGCUUAUUUCAGACGCAGCGGAACUCGUUGAGGACCGCCAGGAAGUUAAAUCUUGGGUGGACUUCUUUGGGAUCUUGCUGUUGACGGUUUAAGCAGGUCUUUUUCUGACCGUCCGCACGCUUAACGAUCAACUUAGGAACUGGUACGGACAAGGGGAAUCUGACUCGUUCACUAAAACAUAGCAUUGCGAUGGUCAGAAAGUGAUGCUGACGCAAUGCGAUUUCGCCCAGUGCUCCACGUCAAAGUGAAGAAAUUCAACUAAGCGCGGGUAAACGGCGGAGGCAAUUAUGACUCUCUUAAGGUAGCCAAAUGCUCGUCAUCUAAUUAGGUGACGCAUGAAUGGAUUAAACGAGAUUCCCACUGUCCCUAUCUACUAUCUA